Molecule: long non-coding RNA, 2035 nt
Organism: Beta vulgaris subsp. vulgaris (sugar beet)
Lineage: Eukaryota; Viridiplantae; Streptophyta; Magnoliopsida; Caryophyllales; Amaranthaceae
Exons: 3
Source: RefSeq, a predicted model, not a curated record
AGAGUUUGGCUUUCCUUUCACUUCAUUUCCUUUACUUAAACCUUUUUCCUUUUCCCUUGGUGAACCAAACACCCCCUUAUUAUCUGACACUAACAUGAAUAUGACACAACACAACUUAUUUGCCAAUACUUAAAGAAAACCCAAUAAGAAUAAUUCGCCAGCUCUUAAAAGAAACUCAGCGCAAUUUUUUUGAUAUACUUAUCAGAAAAGUAUGUCAUCCCUUUAAACCUAUAACUAUUGGAUCGCAUCGGUCGAAUCAAAUUAACUAGGGAAAGUCAUGAGCGGGAUAAGCAAUGGUGUUGACAAAGCCAAAUCGAUCCUUAUUUGGUCUUGCCCAAUAUCUUCUAAUGACUAUAGUAAAUCACGCUAACUUGUUGCAAAGAGAUGAAACCCCCCCCAAAAAAAAAAAAAAAAUGACAGCUGUGGGAUUUGAACCCACGCCCUUUCGGACCAGAGCCUAAAUCUGGCGCCUUAGACCACUCGGCCAAACUGUCAGAUAGUUAAUUAAAAUCAUAAAAAUCUGAAUAUAACUAUUUGCACUGAUAUACCACCGACAGUGCAAGUGAAGUGAAGAAUUGCCUCACUUUGUCGUGCAAAUUAUUAUCUCAAGUACAGUAAACAUCAAUCACUGUCAUUUGCCAAACAACAAUAUAUCAAAUUCAAAGGGCAGAGUAGACUUUUUUGGGAGAUAAAAUUUUGAAAAGCUAGCAAAAAGGCUGGGUGGUCCUGCGUACCGAAUUCAUUGCAAAAGAGAAUUGGCCAUAAAGACAAGGUGGGAAGAGAUAGAAAAACAAGGAGCAAGGAUGAGCAAAGAUAAGCUCAACUGAGCUUGGUUUGGAGGCUUGGAGCUUUCCGAGCCUUGAGAGUUCAAGGUCGAGCUUAGUAUGCAUCUUUGCUUGAUACUUUUCAACUUUUUUGUAAUGUUCGAAACCCAAAUCCAAAUCGAGCUCAUCACUAGAAUGUGAUCCAAAUUAACUCAAUUAACUUGAUCAAAGUUCGAUUUGAAUGACCUGUUUGCCACAUUUCUAUGUUGGCUUUGGUUUAGCGUAGGUCAAUAUGAGCAUACAUAUGCCCUCUCCUUUUAUUACUAUAUACUCCUUCCGCCUCUUAAAGACGUCCGUUUCCAUUUUAGUAUAUCCAUAUCACAUUUCUCAUAUCCUUUUUUUUGGAUCGAGUAAUUGAGUUCACUAUCUCUACUUACUCUAUCCUAAAUAUAAAUUAUCACUAACUAUUUUUUAUCACAUCUAACUUUCCCUCUCUUGUCAAUAAGAUCUACUCUUUUUUCAUUUUUCUCUCUUCCCAACAUAAAUUUGCUCUUUCUAAAACCAACGGUUCAACAGAAAUGAGCAAUGUUUUUAGAACGGAGGGAGUACUUAAACAGAAAUCCACUAAUACAAAAAUUUUGGAUCCGGAUCUUAUAAUACCUCUCUUUGGAGAAUUUUAUAAGUUGAGCUCGCAAACGCUAAAUUUGCGAGCUCAACUGUUUACAUUCUUAAUUCUAUCCUCCACAUUGCUGGCAAAUUUUGUCCAAGAUUCUUUAUUUUGUUUGUAUUGAAGUUUUUGUGGGUAGAGUUAGGAUCAAAUUUGGUCCACUAGCUUGCUAUCCAAAAGAUCUCUUCAAUAAUAUGAAUUGGUUCAUUGAUUUCAGAUUACGAGAAUGACGUGGUUUUAUUAGGAAUCAUUAGUUUGUUUGUUCAAGCCAAUGUCACUUCUUGGUGGGAUGAUCCGUCCUUACUACCAGAUUAUAACUCGAAGUUUGGUUGAAAGUAAUCUACUGUUGAAGCUACAUGACAAAUUUUGUGAUGAGUUGGUGAUUUUAAUUAGUUUACGAGUGGUAACAUAAGUACAAUUUGGAUGAGAAAGGUUACAUGAUUUGGGCCCAUUUGGAACAUUUUUGCUUUUAAAUCUAUGGUAUACAAAUUCAAUGCAUGUUGAUGUUGGUCAUGUUGCCCUACUUGACAAGAGAUUAAUGUGGUAACGUUAGGUUGUUCAUACAAGUAUUUGUUAUGAUCACAAUUCACAUCUUUUGUCUAAA